AAGACAGGCGUCUGCUACCUUAACCAACACAGGUGGCUGGUGACAUAUCAAUUAAGCGUCACAACCAACAAACGCCGUAACAAUCAAGCGGUGCGCAUGUUUCGUCGACUAUAGCAGAGAUGUGGAGAAUUGCGGCCUUGCUGUGUCUGGUCGCGGCUACCAGUGUUUGGAGCUAUUCGCUGGACUAUGACUGUUUACCCUGCUACAAUGGUUUGUUCCUCACUCCCACCGGACAGACGCCCAUCGAGUACCCGUGCCCGAACCCCCAGUACUGCCCCUACGGUAUAGUGAUGGACUCAUGUCACUGCUGCUACCAGUGCGCCAAGGGCCCGUACGAGAAAUGUGGCGGUCCGCGCAAUAUCUACGGCAGGUGCGCGCGAUCGUUGAAAUGUUACAAACGCAUCGACGACCCGCUCGCUGUGGGGAUGUGCGUGCACCGCAGACGUAAGUCACGUAACGCCUACAGACGCAGACGCUACUACCGCUAGACACAUCCGCCGGAAGAGACGUCAUCGGGACGCGUUUUUCCACUAGACACAUCCCGCGGCGUCAUGGCGAAGCGGCUUUCCACUAGACACAUCCCGCGGCGUCAUGGCGACGCGGCAUUCCACUAGACAUAUCCCGCGGCGUCAUGGCGACGCGGCUUUCCACUAGACACAUCCCGCGGCGUCAUGGCGACGCGGCAUUCCACUAGACACAUCCCGCGGCGUCAUGACGACUCGUUUUUCCACUAGCGUCCCAUUCUUACUAGGAAAUCAGCGUAGAACUAGAUUGUUGCUUUGCGAGUUGAUGUUUGUUCAUGGUCAUUACUUCGAUGGUAAUUAGAGGUAUUCUGUUGAUUCGUUACGCCUGUGUCUCUCACGAACUGUUAUCUAUGUGUGUUAUUAUCUUUAUCUUUAUGUUCGACGCACCACGAUUUGUCUAGAUACAUUCGCCAUCAUGAUGUCACUAACGUGCGUCACGUGACCACAGUGCGUAUCACGCGAUAUCCGCGUGUCAGUGUAAAUAUGUACACGAACAUACUCUAUCGACUAUUACUCAUUGUUACGUCACGGAUUUCGUGUUUGAUUUCUUUAUUACUUCAUAAUAAACGCGUUGUUAUUUGCUAAACCAA
RNAcentral lists this long non-coding RNA (1114 nucleotides) under Priapulus caudatus. RNAcentral's name for it is "uncharacterized LOC106816338, transcript variant X2". The record is from RNAcentral. Lineage: Eukaryota; Metazoa; Priapulida; Priapulimorpha; Priapulimorphida; Priapulidae.